AGCGAACGUUUGCGGCGGGCUUAACACAUGCAAGUCGAACGGGCUGUUCCUUCGGGGGCAGUCAGUGGCGCACGGGUGCGUAACACAUAGGUAAUCAACCCUCUGGUUGGGGAUAACACUUCGAAAGGAGUGCUAAUACCCGGUAUGGCGCAGCGGUCUUCGGAUCGCGGCGAGAAAGACCCGCAAGGGUUGCCAGAGGACGAGCCUGCGGCCCAUCAGCUAGUUGGCGAGGUAACGGCUCACCAAGGCGAAGACGGGUAGCUGGUCUGAGAGGAUGAUCAGCCACACUGGAACUGAGACACGGUCCAGACUCCUACGGGAGGCAGCAGUGGGGAAUAUUGCGCAAUGGGCGAAAGCCUGACGCAGCCACGCCGCGUGAGCGAUGAAGGCCU
This 392-nucleotide ribosomal RNA is filed under the name uncultured bacterium. RNAcentral's name for it is "bacterial SSU rRNA". It matches the Rfam family "Bacterial small subunit ribosomal RNA", at positions 29 to 417 of the family's 1533-position model. The record is from RNAcentral.